CCUACGGGUGGCAGCAGUGAGGAAUAUUGGUCAAUGGGCGGGAGCCUGAACCAGCCAAGUCGCGUGAGGGAAGACGGUCCUAUGGAUUGUAAACCUCUUUAGGCGGGGAGCAAUGCCGGGCACGCGUGCCCGGAGGGAGAGUACCCGCAGAAUAAGCAUCGGCUAACUCCGUGCCAGCAGCCGCGGUAAUACGGGGGAUGCGAGCGUUAUCCGGCUUUAUUGGGUUUAAAGGGGGCGUAGGCGGAUUUUUAAGUCAGCGGUAAAAUGUCCGGGCUCAACCCGGGCCGGCCGUUGAAACUGGCGUGCUUGAGUGGGCGAGAAGUAUGCGGAAUGCGUGGUGUAGCGGUGAAAUGCAUAGAUAUCACGCAGAACUCCGGUUGCGAAGGCAGCAUACCGGCGCCCUACUGACGCUGAGGCACGAAAGCGUGGGUAUCGAACAGGAUUAGAUACCCUUGUAGUC
Molecule: ribosomal RNA, 460 nt
Filed under: uncultured bacterium
Lineage: Bacteria
Description: partial 16S ribosomal RNA
Rfam family: Bacterial small subunit ribosomal RNA
Source: RNAcentral